Long non-coding RNA from Syngnathoides biaculeatus (alligator pipefish), 1241 nucleotides. RefSeq lists it as uncharacterized. NCBI's taxonomy places the organism in Eukaryota, Metazoa, Chordata, Actinopteri, Syngnathiformes, Syngnathidae. The transcript has 2 exons. The record is from RefSeq and is a predicted model, not a curated record.
UAAAUGAAUUAUAAUUCGUUAGCCUUUUUGGAUUUUGACCUAUGACAAAAGUUAUUCAGACAGCUGGGAUCUGUGUUAAAGGAGGACUUUGUCAAAAAUAAUAGUAAUGGGCGUACACAUUCAAAGUUAGUAGAUGAGGGUUCAGUGCUUCCUGUUCUGACCCCCCAUUGCUCGUGGAUACGUUUCACUGAACAGAGAACGUCCACUACUCUGGCAUUUUGUGGCUGAAUUUUGUGAAAAAUAAUUACAAACAAACAAAAUAACAAUAACAAAAAUAACAAUGUACAAUGUUCAAGCCUAUGCGUUUGAGCCAGAAUACACACAGGCGGAACUUGUUGUGUUGAAGAGGGGGCGGGACACUCAUGAAGGAGCACAACAAUCACAUAACAUGGACCUCGGAGAUCUUCCAGACAGGCUCGUUUUGAAAGACUGCUGUUCGUGUUCUCUUUGUGAUCAAAUGCCAACUGUGGCAUUGAGUUUAAAAAGGCUGCAUAACCCGACAAAGACGUAUUACAUAUCAAUUUACUUAUGAUCCAUUGCAGUUUGAUGAAAGGACCACUUGUACAUCCAGUGGAAAACCCAUGCUUAUCCGCACGAGGGUCACUGGAGUGUUGGAGCUUAUCCCAGCUGUCAACUUGCAGGAGGCAGGCUACACCCAUGCAGAACAUACAAACUCCACACAGGGAGGUCCAGGAUCAAACCCGGGUCCUCAUAACUGUGAGGCCAACGCUUUCCAGCUGCUCUACCGUGCCGCCUCAGAAAGUAUGUAGUUGCUUAUACUGUACCGCCACGAGAGGCUAUAACUAAGUGGCUAAUAACUAGUAACAAUGAUUAAAUGCGUCCAAAUUUCCCCUGCUGAUGAACGAGCCUCAACUGUGACAGCCACAGCUUUAUCCUGUCAGGUUGACCCCAUGGGAGGUUAAAGAAGGACACAUUUCGGUACAUUUUCUCAGUUUUGUUGCAGUUUGUUACACAACACGUCAGCAUCUUGGCCGAGCUAGAAUGAAUGGUCUGUGAUGCUAAGCACCGGCAACGUCGGGGAGCGAGGUCGAGGACAUUUCUUCCAGGUCUGGCUGUGAAAGUUGGCACGUAUACAGAUAAUUCAUGGAUUUCGAAAAUGUUGUUUAUUUUCAAUUUUGUUUUCAAUUAAUGUCCAAAAUAUAUGUAUUUAUUGUACACAUGAAUUUUGGACAAAGCUUUACUUUAAACUGUGACUAAAAAUACAUGCACGAUACGUCUUC